Molecule: ribosomal RNA, 492 nt
Filed under: uncultured bacterium
Lineage: Bacteria
Description: partial 16S ribosomal RNA
Rfam family: Bacterial small subunit ribosomal RNA
Source: RNAcentral
AGUGAACGCUGGCGGUAGGCUUAACACAUGCAAGUCGAACGGCAGCACAGUAAGAGCUUGCUCUUACGGGUGGCGAGUGGCGGAUGGGUGAGGAAUACAUCGGCAUCUACUUUUUCGUGGGGGAUAACGUAGGGAAACUUACGCCAAUACCGCAUACGACCUACGGGUGAAAGCAGGGGAUCUUCGGACCUUGCGCGAUCGAAUGAGCCGAUGUCGGAUUAGCUAGUUGGCGGGGUAAAGGCCCACCAAGGCGACGAUCCGUAGCUGGUCUGAGAGGAUGAUCAGCCACACUGGAACUGAGACACGGUCCAGACUCCUACGGGAGGCAGCAGUGGGGAAUAUUGGACAAUGGGCGCAAGCCUGAUCCAGCCAUACCGCGUGGGUGAAGAAGGCCUUCGGGUUGUAAAGCCCUUUUGUUGGGAAAGAAAAGCAGCAGGUUAAUACCCCGCUGUUCUGACGGUACCCAAAGAAUAAGCACCGGCUAACUUCGUG